AUGGAUUCCGGUGACGCGUGGGGCCGCUCCUCCUCCACCUCCUCCUCCGCCGCCGCCGCGAGGCGCCUGCAGUCCCGCUACGAUCUGUACAUGGGGUUCGACGACGCGGACGCCGGCGGGGACGAGGUGGAGGCGCGCGGGGCGGAGGCCUACAACUGCCCCUUUUGCGGCGAGGACUUCGACUUCGUCGGGCUCUGCUGCCACAUCGACGACGAGCACGCCGUCGAGGCCAAGAGCGGGGUAUGCCCCAUCUGUGCUACAAGGGUUGGGGUGGACUUGAUAGGCCACUUGACAAUGCAGCAUGGAAGUUACUUCAAGAUGCAACGCAGGCGCAGAGUCCGAAAAGUAUCUUCCGGGUCCCAUUCUUUGCUGUCUUUGUUGAGAAAGGAUUUAAGAGACGGCAGUUUGCAGUCCUUUCUUGGUGGAUCAUCCUAUGUAUCUAAUCCUCCCGCUGCAGCCCCUGAUCCAUUUUUGCAAUCUUUAAUUUGUAGUUUGCCUGUGGCUGAACCAUCGAAAGAUUUUCGUUCCGACUCAUCUGACAAAACAUUUUUGCUAAAUAAAUUCCCAGAUGAAAAGGUCGUAGAGAGAGCUGAAACAUCUCUGUCCGAGAAGGAUCAGAAGGAGAGGGCUCAGAGGAGUGCAUUUGCCCGUGGGCUUGUGCUUUCCACAAUAUUUGAUGAUGAUACCAUGUAA
This 693-nucleotide ribosomal RNA is filed under the name Triticum aestivum (bread wheat). RNAcentral's name for it is "partial small subunit ribosomal RNA". Lineage: Eukaryota; Viridiplantae; Streptophyta; Magnoliopsida; Poales; Poaceae. The record is from RNAcentral.